RNAcentral lists this long non-coding RNA (344 nucleotides) under Oryzias javanicus (javanese ricefish). RNAcentral describes it as "lncRNA (ENSOJAG00000024180.1)". Lineage: Eukaryota; Metazoa; Chordata; Actinopteri; Beloniformes; Adrianichthyidae. The record is from RNAcentral.
CUUUUUAGUUUUCUCAGCAGGUGAGGUGAACUUCCAGAAGGAAGCCCCGUGGUAAUACCAGAUCUCUGUACCCAGAAUGUUGGACCUGCUUCUCCAGUGGAAGCUGCAUGCAGAUGGAGGGUGGUCUCAGGACAAACUGGGUUGCAGCAAGCAAAUCAGAUAUUAAACCAAGAGCCUGUCUCCGUGAAGCUUCUUCACAAAACUUCAUGCUUAGGAACUUCUGGGAAUCAUCAAAUCAAUAAAGAAGCGUGCUGCCCUGUUUUCGUGAGAGCUGACAAAAGCUGCAGCAUGUUUCUUGAAAAGGAUGAGGUUAAGCUGGAGCUUGGAUGUGCUUUAAAAAAAAA